AUUGAACGCUGGCGGCAUGCCUUACACAUGCAAGUCGAACGGUAACAGGUCUUCGGAUGCUGACGAGUGGCGAACGGGUGAGUAAUACAUCGGAACGUGCCCGAUCGUGGGGGAUAACGCAGCGAAAGCUGUGCUAAUACCGCAUACGAUCUACGGAUGAAAGCGGGGGAUCGCAAGACCUCGCGCGGACGGAGCGGCCGAUGGCAGAUUAGGUAGUUGGUGGGAUAAAAGCUUACCAAGCCGACGAUCUGUAGCUGGUCUGAGAGGACGACCAGCCACACUGGGACUGAGACACGGCCCAGACUCCUACGGGAGGCAGCAGUGGGGAAUUUUGGACAAAGGGCGCAAGCCUGAUCCAGCCAUGCCGCGUGCAGGAUGAAGGCCUUCGGGUUGUAAACUGCUUUUGUACGGAACGAAAAAGCUCUCUCUAAUACAGGGGGUGAAUGACGGUACCGUAAGAAUAAGCACCGGCUAACUACGUG
This 482-nucleotide ribosomal RNA is filed under the name uncultured bacterium. RNAcentral's name for it is "partial 16S ribosomal RNA". It matches the Rfam family "Bacterial small subunit ribosomal RNA", at positions 30 to 507 of the family's 1533-position model. The record is from RNAcentral.